UACUGCCAGACUUGGAACCGGGAGAGGUAAGAGGUACUACAGGGGUAGGAGUGAAAUCUUGUAAUCCCUGUGGGACCACCUGUGGCGAAGGCGUCUUACCAGAACGGGUUCGACGGUGAGGGACGAAAGCUGGGGGCACGAACCGGAUUGGAUACCCGGGUAGUCCCAGCCGUAAACGAUGCUCGCUAGGUGUCAGGCAUGGCGCGACCCGUGUCUGGUGCCGCAGGGAAGCCGUGAAGCGAGCCACCUGGGAAGUACGGCCGCAAGGCUGAAACUUAAAGGAAUUGGCGGGGGAGCACAACAACGGGUGGAAGCCUGCGGUUUAAUUGGACUCAACGCCGGACAACUCACCGGGGGCGACAGCAAUAUGUAGGCCAAGCUGAAGACUUUGCCUGAAUCGCUGAGAAGAGGUGCAUGG
Molecule: ribosomal RNA, 418 nt
Filed under: uncultured archaeon
Lineage: Archaea
Description: bacterial SSU rRNA
Rfam family: Archaeal small subunit ribosomal RNA
Source: RNAcentral